RNAcentral lists this small RNA (464 nucleotides) under Histoplasma ohiense. Its description in RNAcentral is "hypothetical lncRNA". Lineage: Eukaryota; Fungi; Ascomycota; Eurotiomycetes; Onygenales; Ajellomycetaceae. The record is from RNAcentral.
CCAACAUACCAACCACGCCACUAUUGGUUGGGUUCACCACAACAACAUCAUCUUCACUGUAACGUCAACUGCCAACUCCCAUACAAAAUGAAUACACUGUUAAAAUUUCAAUAUCUCAACAAUCAUGUCAAGAGUGGCUUUUAAAUUAUAUAUCUAUUGUAGUGGGGCAUCCACUGCAGCACUAGGAAUAAUGGCUGUUCUGUGCCGAACGGACUUAAUUAAUGGGGGAUUGGCAACAGGUCAGGUAUACCGGAAUGUAUGUAUGUACAGGGAGUUGAGCAGAAGAGAAUAGUGAAGAAGAGAUGAGCUUGAUCCUUGAUUUUUUUGAUUCUUUUUUGUUUGAUUUGUUUUAGCAUAGCUCUGAUAGCUGCCAGUCACUUACUUGAUCUAUUGCUGGUGCACCACACUACCCUACCUAGCAAGCCCUGCUCAUCCCAGCUGAGCAAUAUAGCUUACAUGUUUCC